AAUAUUUAAUACUUUUAUUUUUAAUGUAGGUUAUAGACAUCUAAAUAAAGUCUAUAUUUCUUGAUUUGUUUUCUAGGAUUUCCAUAAUGAGUCUCCUACCAGCCAUUUGAGAAAUACUUCAGAAAAACAAGUCCUUCACUUCUCCUCUACUAGGUUCAGCAAUCAAUUUUGGUUGAGGUCCUGAUCAUUCCAGU
Monodelphis domestica (gray short-tailed opossum) is the source of this 194-nucleotide long non-coding RNA. The record is from Ensembl. Lineage: Eukaryota; Metazoa; Chordata; Mammalia; Didelphimorphia; Didelphidae.